GAUGAACGCUGGCGGCGUGCCUAAUACAUGCAAGUCGAGCGAACAGACGUGGAGCUUGCUCCUCUGACGUUAGCGGCGGACGGGUGAGUAACACGUGGAUAACCUACCUAUAAGACUGGGAUAACUUCGGGAAACCGGAGCUAAUACCGGAUAAUAUAUUGAACCGCAUGGUUCAAUAGUGAAAGACGGUUUUGCUGUCACUUAUAGAUGGAUCCGCGCCGCAUUAGCUAGUUGGUAAGGUAACGGCUUACCAAGGCAACGAUGCGUAGCCGACCUGAGAGGGUGAUCGGCCACACUGGAACUGAGACACGGUCCAGACUCCUACGGGAGGCAGCAGUAGGGAAUCUUCCGCAAUGGGCGAAAGCCUGACGGAGCAACGCCGCGUGAGUGAUGAAGGUCUUCGGAUCGUAAAACUCUGUUAUUAGGGAAGAACAAAUGUGUAAGUAACUAUGCACGUCUUGACGGUACCUAAUCAGAAAGCCACGGCUAACUACG
Molecule: ribosomal RNA, 495 nt
Filed under: uncultured bacterium
Lineage: Bacteria
Description: partial 16S ribosomal RNA
Rfam family: Bacterial small subunit ribosomal RNA
Source: RNAcentral